AGCUUAGCUCUCGACCAAGAAGGGGAACCAGACCCCUAGUUUGGAUCUCUCAUCGCCACCUUGCGAGUUGUGCCACCGACUACCGAAACACCCAGUCCCAGCCAUUCCUUGGCCUGAUGAGAAGUUUCUAGCCACGAGAAGAUCCUUGGCUGUGGUGAACCCUAUGAUGUGGAGGAUUGUUGCUCAAGUUCACAACAGGAUAGGGCUACCAAUUCCUGUAGAGGUCAGCAUGUGCUUGUCCCUCACAGCUUCAUUUAGAUUUCUUCAAAGAGAAAAUUGUUGUAGAUAUGGAUUGAGCAUUCAGCCAGCAUUGUUCGCCGAAGAUCCACAGUUCCGGCCAUCCUAUUCUGGUAGUGAAUCUCUUUAACCGUGAGUGGACGGAGGAGCAAUCCAAUUAGGGACUUUAAUUCGGGACGAGCAUCUCAUCAUGGGAUUGGUUAUCUCGUUCGAUAGAUAAAGACGGGUGUUACGAGCAGAUCUGUUGCUGAUCCCCAGUGAGUUACUGAUCAUUAUGCAAUGUGUCAAUUCCAGAUUUGGUAGAAGAUAGUGAUUAUGUAGUCGAUUGGAGUAUCCUGCUUGCCGAUCCCAUGUCACAUCGGAGAACGACCUUUAUUUUUCUUUAUGAUUUUAUUGCAUUUAUCUAGAUUUAUAUACUUAGGAUUAUAAUAAUUUUGUUGUGGACUUGGUAUUUGGUCUUAUGGCUACUUUUGAUAUUUCUGAUGGUUGUUGUGUAAAGUCUAGCCAGCUAGCAGUGUGUUGUUUUAGUUUAUGGGCUUUCUUUUAUUUACCGCUGUGUUUUAGUACAA
Zingiber officinale is the source of this 806-nucleotide long non-coding RNA. RefSeq lists it as uncharacterized. The transcript is spliced from 5 exons. Lineage: Eukaryota; Viridiplantae; Streptophyta; Magnoliopsida; Zingiberales; Zingiberaceae. The record is from RefSeq and is a predicted model, not a curated record.